RNAcentral lists this ribosomal RNA (301 nucleotides) under uncultured bacterium. Its description in RNAcentral is "partial 16S ribosomal RNA". It matches the Rfam family "Bacterial small subunit ribosomal RNA", at positions 509 to 807 of the family's 1533-position model. The record is from RNAcentral.
CAGCCGCCGCGGUAAUACGUAGGGUGAGAGCGUUAAUCGGAAUUACUGGGCGUAAAGCGUGCGCAGGCGGUUCGUUAAGACAGAUGUGAAAUCCCCGGGCUUAACCUGGGAACUGCGUUUGUGACUGGCGAGCUAGAGUAUGGCAGAGGGGGGUAGAAUUCCACGUGUAGCAGUGAAAUGCGUAGAUAUCGGAAGGAACACCAGUGGCGAAGGCGGCUACCUGGACUGAGACUGACACUGAGGCGCGAGAGCGUGGGGAGCAAACAGGAUUAGAUAUCCCCGUAGUCCCUGUCUCUUAUAC